RNAcentral lists this ribosomal RNA (200 nucleotides) under uncultured bacterium. RNAcentral's name for it is "partial 16S ribosomal RNA". It matches the Rfam family "Bacterial small subunit ribosomal RNA", at positions 28 to 237 of the family's 1533-position model. The record is from RNAcentral.
GACUAACGCUGGCGGCGUGCCUAACACAUGCAAGUCGAACGGGGUAGCAAUACCCAGUGGCAGUCGGGUGAGUAACACGUGGUCAACCUACCUUUAAGUGGGGGAUAACUAGCCGAAAGGUUAGCUAAUACCGCAUACGAUCUUCGAGUGGCAUCACAUGAAGAUGAAAGGAGCAAUCCGCUGAAAGACGAGACCGCGUC